RNAcentral lists this ribosomal RNA (378 nucleotides) under uncultured bacterium. RNAcentral's name for it is "bacterial SSU rRNA". It matches the Rfam family "Bacterial small subunit ribosomal RNA", at positions 28 to 402 of the family's 1533-position model. The record is from RNAcentral.
AGCGAACGCUGGCGGCGUGCUUAACACAUGCAAGUCGAGUGCGCGGUUCGUAGCAAUACGAACUGGCGCACGGCGCACGGGUGAGGAACACGUGGGCAACAUGCCCUCCGAUGGGGAAUAACCCGCCGAAAGGCGGGCUAAUACCGCAUACGAUUCCGGGGACCUCGGUUCCUGGACUGAAAGCCCGCAAGGGCGUCGGUGGAGUGGCCCGCGGCCGAUUAGCUUGUUGGCGGGGAACGGCCCACCAAGGCAAUGAUCGGUAGCCGGUCUGAGAGGAUGAUCGGCCACACUGGAACUGAGACACGGUCCAGACUCCUACGGGAGCAGCAGUGGGGAAUCUUGCGCAAUGGGCGAAAGCCUGACGCAGCGACGCCGCGU